This is a long non-coding RNA of Alligator sinensis (Chinese alligator), 595 nucleotides long. RefSeq lists it as uncharacterized. The record is from RefSeq and is a predicted model, not a curated record. NCBI's taxonomy places the organism in Eukaryota, Metazoa, Chordata, Crocodylia, Alligatoridae. The transcript has 3 exons.
CCUGCUGCUCUGAAUGAGUUGACUUAAUAGCAACAGGAUUGGGCUCUUCAUGGACAAACUAUUCUGCCUGUUUUCUAUGCAAGCCAAUGAGAGAAGAGCGAGUGAUGCAGGCAACCUAGAAAAGGGGAGGAGCUGAGCAAAGUACUUCCACAUGGUCUCCGUUGCUAUAGAAACCACUUCUUUUGUCUGCAUGUGCAGCUGCUUCAUUUAUAAUCCAGCUCUCAGCUGAGCUCCUACAAUCCAGGUCACAAUCAUUUGAAUAAUACAGUCUCCUUGCAAGGCUCAGACCAAAAGAAAAAAAACUAUUUAUUUUGUAUGAACAAUUGAAUUUCCUGAUGGUUUUGUCAGGAAGAGCUUUAUAGUUGCUCCUUUUUUUUUUCUCCCCCUCUUCUUUACCAAUGUGACUAAAAAUAUGAAUGUAGAGCUUUCAUGUACUGUCUUUGAUGGACCACUUCUUUUUCUGUUUGUCUGAUGAUAUCUACUGUGAUUGUCAUAAAGGAACUACAGUUGCUAGUUUGUGAAAUGCCAAAUAAUCCCCUAAAUUUACACAUUAAAACAAAAUCCCAUUAUGGCUUUAGUGGAAAGGGUGCUAGAG